RNAcentral lists this ribosomal RNA (497 nucleotides) under uncultured bacterium. RNAcentral's name for it is "partial 16S ribosomal RNA". It matches the Rfam family "Bacterial small subunit ribosomal RNA", at positions 28 to 507 of the family's 1533-position model. The record is from RNAcentral.
GAUGAACGCUGGCGGCGUGCCUAAUACAUGCAAGUCGAGCGAACAGACGAGGAGCUUGCUCCUCUGACGUUAGCGGCGGACGGGUGAGUAACACGUGGAUAACCUACCUAUAAGACUGGGAUAACUUCGGGAAACCGGAGCUAAUACCGGAUAAUAUAUUGAACCGCAUGGUUCAAUAGUGAAAGACGGUUUUGCUGUCACUUAUAGAUGGAUCCGCGCCGCAUUAGCUAGUUGGUAAGGUAACGGCUUACCAAGGCAACGAUGCGUAGCCGACCUGAGAGGGUGUUCGGCCACACUGGAACUGAGACACGGUCCAGACUCCUACGGGAGGCAGCAGUAGGGAAUCUUCCGCGAUGGGCGAAAGCUUGACGGAGCAACGCCGCGUGAGUGAUGAAGGUCUUCGGAUCGUAAAACUCUGUUAUUAGGGAAGAACAAAUGUGUAAGUAACUAUGCACGUCUUGACGGUACCUAAUCAGAAAGCCACGGCUAACUACGUG